RNAcentral lists this ribosomal RNA (944 nucleotides) under Cortinarius ophryx. RNAcentral's name for it is "eukaryotic LSU rRNA". It matches the Rfam family "Eukaryotic large subunit ribosomal RNA", at positions 35 to 964 of the family's 3401-position model. Lineage: Eukaryota; Fungi; Basidiomycota; Agaricomycetes; Agaricales; Cortinariaceae. The record is from RNAcentral.
UAAGCAUAUCAAUAAGCGGAGGAAAAGAAACUAACAAGGAUUCCCCUAGUAACUGCGAGUGAAGCGGGAAAAGCUCAAAUUUAAAAUCUGGCAGUCUUUGAUUGUCCGAGUUGUAAUCUAGAGAAGUGUUAUCCGCGCUGGACCGUGUACAAGUCUCCUGGAAUGGAGCGUCAUAGAGGGUGAGAAUCCCGUCUUUGACACGGACUACCAGGGCUUUGUGAUGCGCUCUCAAAGAGUCGAGUUGUUUGGGAAUGCAGCUCAAAAUGGGUGGUAAAUUCCAUCUAAAGCUAAAUAUUGGCGAGAGACCGAUAGCGAACAAGUACCGUGAGGGAAAGAUGAAAAGAACUUUGGAAAGAGAGUUAAACAGUACGUGAAAUUGCUGAAAGGGAAACGCUUGAAGUCAGUCGCGUUGUCCAGGGAUCAACCUUGCUUUUGCUUGGUGCACUUUCUGGUUGACGGGUCAGCAUCAAUUUUGACUAUUGGAAAAAGAUUAGGGGAAUGUGGCAUCUUUGGAUGUGUUAUAGCCCUUGGUUGUAUACAAUAGUUGGGAUUGAGGAACUCAGCACGCCGCAAGGCCAGGUUUUUAACCAUGUACGUGCUUAGGAUGCUGGCAUAAUGGCUUUAAUCGACCCGUCUUGAAACACGGACCAAGGAGUCUAACAUGUCUGCGAGUGUUUGGGUGGAAAACCCGAGCGCGUAAUGAAAGUGAAAGUUGAGAUCCCUGUCGUGGGGAGCAUCGACGCCCGGACCAGACCUUUUGUGACGGUUCCGCGGUAGAGCAUGUAUGUUGGGACCCGAAAGAUGGUGAACUAUGCCUGAAUAGGGUGAAGCCAGAGGAAACUCUGGUGGAGGCUCGUAGCGAUUCUGACGUGCAAAUCGAUCGUCAAAUUUGGGUAUAGGGGCGAAAGACUAAUCGAACCAUCUAGUAAGCUGGUUCCUGCCGA